This 253-nucleotide ribosomal RNA is filed under the name uncultured bacterium. RNAcentral's name for it is "partial 16S ribosomal RNA". It matches the Rfam family "Bacterial small subunit ribosomal RNA", at positions 524 to 777 of the family's 1533-position model. The record is from RNAcentral.
CACGUAGGGGGCUAGCGUUGUCCGGAAUCAUUGGGCGUAAAGCGCGUGUAGGCGGUCCGGUAAGUCCGCUGUGAAAGUCGAGGGCUCAACCUCGAAUGCCGGUAGAUACUGUCGGGCUUGAGUACGGGAGAGGUGAGUGGAAUUCCCAGUGUAGCGGUGAAAUGCGUAGAUAUUGGGAGGAACACCAGUGGCGAAGGCGGCUCACUGGACCGGAACUGACGCUGAGGCGCGAAAGCGUGGGGAGCAAACAGGG